GUCUUUUUGAUAAUAAUUUAAAGUCUAAUCUGCCCACUGAUUUAUUAAAGGGCUGCAGUAUAUUGACUGUACAAAGGUAGCAUAAUCAUUAGUUUUUUAAUUGGAAACUUGUAUGAAAGAUUUAAUGAAAUAUUAACUGUCUCUAAAUUAUUAAUAAAAUUUUAUUUUUUAGUUAAAAAGCUAAAAUAAAUUUAAAAGACGAGAAGACCCUAUAGAGUUUUAUAUUUAAUUUUAUUUUAAAAAUAUAUAAAAAUUAAUAUUAAAUAAAAUUAAAUAUUAUAUUGGGGUGAUAGAAAAAUUUAAUUAACUUUUUUUAAAUUAUAUACAUAAAUAAGUGAAUAAAUGAUCCAUUAAUAAUGAUUAUAAGAAAAAAUUACCUUAGGGAUAACAGCGUAAUAUUUUUUUUUAGUACAAAUAAGAAAAAAAGUUUGCGACCUCGAUGUUGGAUUAAGAUAAAAUUUAAAUGCAAAAGUUUAAAAUUUUGAUCUGUUCGAUCAUUAAAAUCUU
This 507-nucleotide ribosomal RNA is filed under the name Mycalesis anaxias. Its description in RNAcentral is "partial 16S ribosomal RNA". Lineage: Eukaryota; Metazoa; Arthropoda; Insecta; Lepidoptera; Nymphalidae. The record is from RNAcentral.